Molecule: non-coding RNA, 79 nt
Organism: Myotis davidii
Lineage: Eukaryota; Metazoa; Chordata; Mammalia; Chiroptera; Vespertilionidae
Source: Rfam
GGCUGGUUCUCAGGUGAUGCACCCCAGAAUCGGGCUCCCUCCUCUCUGGUUCCAGGUGCGUCAUUACCCAAGAACCGCU